This 285-nucleotide ribosomal RNA is filed under the name uncultured bacterium. RNAcentral describes it as "partial 16S ribosomal RNA". The record is from RNAcentral.
CUGCUGCCUUCCGUAGGAGUUUGGGCCGUGUCUCAGUCCCAAUGUGGCCGUCCACCCUCUCAGGCCGGCUACUGAUCGUCGCUUUGGUAGGCCGUUACCCUGCCAACUGGCUAAUCAGACGCGGGCCCAUCUUAUACCACCGGAGUUUUUCACCCUGGGCCAUGCGGCCCUGGGCGCUUAUGCGGUCUUAGCACCUAUUUCUAAGUGUUACUCCCCUGUAUAAGGCACGGUUACCCACGUCGUUACCUCCACCCGUCCGACCAACUAAAAGUAAAAAUGUUACCG